GAUGAACGCUGGCGGCGUGCCUAAUACAUGCAAGUCGAGCGAACAGACGAGGAGCUUGCUCCUCUGCCGUUAUCGGCGGACGGGUGAGUAACUCGUGGAUAACCUACCUAUAAGACUGGGAUAACUUCGGGAAACCGGAGCUAAUACCGGAUAAUAUAUUGAACCGCAUGGUUCAAUAGUGAAAUACGGUUUUGCUGUCACUUAUAGAUGGAUCCGCGCCGCAUUAGCUAGUUGGUAAGGUAACGGCUUACCAAGGCAACGAUGCGUAGCCGACCUGAGAGGGUGAUCGGCCACACUGGAACGGAGACACGGUCCAGACUCCAACGGGAGGCAGCAGUAGGGAGUCUUCCGCAAUGGGCGAAAGCCUGACGUAGCAACGCCGCGUGAGUGAUGAAGUUCUUCGGAUCGUAAAACUCUGUUAUUAGGGAAGAACAAAUGUGUAAGUAACUAUGCACGUCUUGACGGUACCUAAUCAGAAAGCCACGGCUAACUACGUG
This 497-nucleotide ribosomal RNA is filed under the name uncultured bacterium. Its description in RNAcentral is "partial 16S ribosomal RNA". It matches the Rfam family "Bacterial small subunit ribosomal RNA", at positions 28 to 507 of the family's 1533-position model. The record is from RNAcentral.